This 1307-nucleotide ribosomal RNA is filed under the name Candidatus Bathyarchaeota archaeon. Its description in RNAcentral is "bacterial SSU rRNA". It matches the Rfam family "Archaeal small subunit ribosomal RNA", at positions 1 to 1215 of the family's 1478-position model. Lineage: Archaea; Thermoproteati; Candidatus Bathyarchaeota. The record is from RNAcentral.
AGACUCCGCUUGAUCCUGGCGGACCCAACUGCUAUCGGGAUGAGACUAAGCCAUGCGAGUCGCACGCUUCCUAGCCACGGUGGGAGCGUGGCGUACGGCUCAGUAACAUGUGGCUAACCUACCCUCAGGACUGGGACAACUUCGGGAAACUGAGGCUAAUCCCGGAUGGACGGAGAGGCCUGGAAUGGUUCUCCGUUGAAAAGGCUCUAGGGGCAUGCUCUCUAGAGUUGCCUGAGGAUGGGGCCGCAGCCGAUCAGGUUGUUGGUGAGGUAACGGCUCACCAAGCCUAUAACCGGUACGGGCCGUGAGAGCGGGAGCCCGGAGAUGGGCACUGAGAUAAGGGCCCAGGCCCUACGGGGCGCAGCAGGCGCGAAACCUUUGCAAUGCGCGAAAGCGUGACAGGGUCAUCCCGAGUGCCGUCCGCUGAGGAUGGCUUUUGCCUGGUCUAACCAGCCAGGUGAAUAAGGGGAGGGCAAGUCUGGUGUCAGCCGCCGCGGUAAUACCAGCUCCUCGAGUGGUUGGGACGAUUAUUGGGUCUAAAGCGUCCGUAGCCGGCUGGAAAAGUUCUCCGUAAAAUCCAACGAUCCAAUCGUUGGAUCGCGGGGAAUACUUUCCGGCUUGGGGGCGGGGGAGGUCGGCGGUAGUCCCGGGGUAGGGGCGAAAAAGGAAAUGAAAAGUUUCCGUUCGCAGUCUUAUAAUCCCGGGAGGACCACCAGUGGCGAAGGCGGCCGACUAAAACGCGCCCGACGGUGAGGGACGAAAGCUGGGGGAGCGAACGGGAUUAGAUACCCCGGUAGUCCCAGCUGUAAACGAUGCAGGCUAGGUGUUAGGACGGGUACGGCCCGUCCUAGUGCCGCAGGGAAGCCAUUAAGCCUGCCACCUGGGGAGUACGGCCGCAAGGCUGAAUUCUCAUAUGGCAAGAAAUCGUGCCGAUGGGACAGUUCACUUAAAGGAAUUGGCGGGGGAGCACCACAAGGGGUGAAGCUUGCGGUUUAAUUGGAGUCAACACCGGGAACCUUACCAGGGGCGACAGUUGGAUGAAGGUCAGAUUAAAGGUCUUACCGGACUAGCUGAGAGGAGGUGCAUGGCCGUCGCCAGUUCGUGCCGUGAGGUGUUCUCUUAAGUGAGAAAACGAACGAGACCCGUGCCCUUAGUUGCCAGGGCAUUCCCUCGGGAAUGCAGGCACACUAGGGGGACUGCCUCCGCUAAGGGGGAGGAAGGAGCGGGCCACGGCAGGUCAGUAUGCCCCGGAUCCCCUGGGCCACACGCGAGCUGCAAUGGCUGGGACAAUGGGCUCCGACCCCGAA